ACCAGACUCCUACGGGAGGCAGCAGUGGGGAAUAUUGGGCAAUGGGCGCAAGCCUGACCCAGCAACGCCGCGUGAAGGAAGAAGGCUUUCGGGUUGUAAACUUCUUUUGUCAGGGACGAAGCAAGUGACGGUACCUGACGAAUAAGCCACGGCUAACUACGUGCCAGCAGCCGCGGUAAUACGUAGGUGGCAAGCGUUAUCCGGAUUUAUUGGGUGUAAAGGGCGUGUAGGCGGGAAUGCAAGUCAGAUGUGAAAAUUAUGGGCUCAACCCAUAGCCUGCAUUUGAAACUGUAUUUCUUGAGUGCUGGAGAGGCAAUCGGAAUUCCGUGUGUAGCGGUGAAAUGCGUAGAUAUACGGAGGAACACCAGUGGCGAAGGCGGAUUGCUGGACAGUAACUGACGCUGAGGCGCGAAAGCGUGGGGAGCAAACAGGAUUAGAUACCCGAGUA
RNAcentral lists this ribosomal RNA (448 nucleotides) under uncultured bacterium. RNAcentral's name for it is "partial 16S ribosomal RNA". It matches the Rfam family "Bacterial small subunit ribosomal RNA", at positions 330 to 792 of the family's 1533-position model. The record is from RNAcentral.